This 396-nucleotide ribosomal RNA is filed under the name uncultured Burkholderia sp. Its description in RNAcentral is "bacterial SSU rRNA". It matches the Rfam family "Bacterial small subunit ribosomal RNA", at positions 999 to 1397 of the family's 1533-position model. The record is from RNAcentral. Lineage: Bacteria; Pseudomonadati; Pseudomonadota; Betaproteobacteria; Burkholderiales; Burkholderiaceae.
CUGAGAGGUCGGGGUGCCCGAAAGGCCGAACACAGGUGCUGCAUGGCUGUCGUCAGCUCGUGUCGUGAGAUGUUGGGUUAAGUCCCGCAACGAGCGCAACCCUUGUUCCAUGUUGCUAGCACGCAAUGGUGAGGACUCAAGGGAGACUGCCGGGGUCAACCCGGAGGAAGGUGGGGAUGACGUCAAGUCAUCAUGCCCCUUAUGGCUAGGGCUUCACACGUGAUACAAUGGCCGGAACAGAGGGUCGCCAACCCGCGAGGGGGAGCCAAUCCCAGAAAACCGAUCGUAGUCCGGAUCGCACUCUGCAACUCGACUGCGUGAAGCUGGAAUCGCUAGUAAUCGCGGAUCAGCAAUGCCGCGGUGAAUACGUUCCCGGGUCUUGUACACACCGCCCGU